UUAUUCAGUAUACGACGUAGCAGUAUAUAUAGUAGACAACUCAUCAUCACCCGUAGAUAGAUAGAGACUCAAGCAUGGUCGUCGUCGAUGCUCCGGCGCCGACGACGGCGGCGGAAUGGAUCAUCGAUCGACGAUCAUCAGGUCGUCGUUUCGGUUUAGCUCACCCUGGAGCAGUCGGUGGAGGUGCUGAUGGUGUAGGGGAUGCUGACGCCGCACUUGGAGGGGAUGCUGGCGGCCUUGCCGACGUUGAGGCCGCGGAUGCCACGGGCGGCGUUCUUGAGGCAGUUGCAGGCGGCGCGCCUGUCGGCGGUGGUGCGGGCGGCGGAGUUGAGGCUCCUGACGCCGCUGCAGCAGCCUGCGGAGGGUCCAGAGCCCUGGCCGCGGGCGUAGGACAGGCAGGGCCCGAUGGCGGAGCUCACCUGACCGCAUGUCACGGCGGCCUCCGAGGUCGUCGCCGCCAGCACCACCGCCGCCACGACGGCGAUCGCCACAGCAAGCUUCAUGCUGCGAGCCAUGUCGAUCUCGAUCGACCUCCUGUGAUAUAUGUGCUGAUGCUCGUAGGUGACUGAUAGCUUUUGGGAUGCAGUGAGUGAGCAAGUGCUAGCUGGUGAGGAGAUUGCAAUGGAAUGUUGCUCCUUAAAUAGGCAGGCUUUGUGAUCGAUGUGUGAGCUAGCUAGCGAUUGCUGAUGAGUGAUGUGCAUGCAUGGGAUGGGUGUGCAUGCUGUUUCAGUCGGUGGAUGCAUGCAUAUGCGUAUAUGUCCAUGGAUCGAUGGUAUCUCUCGCCAUGCAUCGAAGUUAACUGCUGGGGAGGAGGUGGUUGGGUGUUGAGGGAGGAGGGCAGAUGCUUGUUUAGUUGUUGUAAUACCCGAUUUUAAGGACAAAACCAGAUAUGCACCAUAUGUGAGUUUUAAAAGCCAAAUCUCACAUAUAGCUACAAAUAAGGGGUAAUAUCAAAAGACAAUGCAAAAAUUAUAUAACGUACAUAAUAUAAAAGAGAUAACCUUUGAUAGCAAACAACGGAUAGACAACUCCAAACUCCGGGUAUUAACUUCUCUCUACAGGAUCCAACUGACUGGUUGAUCACAAGCCUAAACUUCUCCUGAGGUUUGGGGGAAAUAGCAAGAGUGAGUCCAUGUCAAACUCCACAAGUAUAGCAACUAGAUUGUAUAGCUCCCACAAUCUCAUGAUCAAUGUGACAUAAAUAAUGUAAAGCAUUAAACAAUAAGCAAUGAGCAUAUUUAACACACAAGAUUCAUCACCCUUAAUGUAGAUGUCCCCAAGGCCGUUCCUGACCGUGAGCUCGGCUAGUAUACUAGUUUUAACACUCUGCAGAGGUUGCACAUCUUUACCCAUGAGUCAUGAUUUACCCUUUCGCCCGAGGUGAUCAGCCUCUUAACCCACUUCCAAGGAAGGUCGGCAGGGAUCACUAUGAAGCCUUUCAAAAGUUCGUCUAACAUGUUAGGGCCGCAAGGUUUCCUUUGCGAGCAGAUAUAGAUACCCCCCUUCCGAAUGGCACAAUGACGCGCAGCCUAUACACAUAGGGACAGGGGCUCGCACUAUACCCGUGUCGGUUCAGCCCCUCCGCCCUUUCGGGUAACCUCUAACAAGCUAGAAAAGGUCUUCAUACUGAGCUAAAGCCAGAGCCAUUAUAGCCCUCAUGGUUGCACUGUUAUCCCGGGUGAUCACGUACAGACAAAUCAUCAAGUUGUUAAAAAGUCAUUUUUACCAUUUAUUACUUAACAUUAAUCUAGUCACAGGAUCAUGGUCACAGAAAUAAAAUCCAAAUGCUAUACUUGCCUCAAUCCAAUUGCUCUUGCUUAUCCUUUUGGUCCUGCUGGUCUCACUUGUUGCCAAAGCUUUGAUCUUGAUCACCGAAACUGCUCUCCGUCUAAACUCGAUCAUCGAUCAUCAACACACAAACAAUCGGACACAACAUACACGUAGCAAACAAGGCUAUAAUUAGAACAGUACACCAAUCAUAUAAAAACAAUAUGAAAAAUUUGUAAAAUAAUUCUACGCAUCGCUACGAUCUCACAGACGUAAAGAUGACGAAAAUCGGAGUUAAAACGGAAAAGAUAUGGAUUUUCUAAGAUUUUAUAUAGAAAAGUAAUUAAUUAAUUAAGGUCACGAAAUUAAAAGGUUUCAAACUGAGUGAACAAUAUUACUAACAUGUAGUGCUCGUGAUUACGAACCUAACACAAUUUCAAUGGACAAAACGGAGUUAAAACAGAGAUGAUAUGGCCUAAAUAAACUAGCGUAUUUUCUUUGUAUUUUUAGGUUUGUUUUUCUAAAGGAAAACGGCAAUAAAACAUGUCUAUGUUAUAACGACGUCAUCAAGCUAGCCAGCAACGUUUAUUCGCAGAUAUAUGUUAGACAUGUACAUCCCUAGAUCGAUUGCUGCGCAGAUAGAAACAUCGCCGGGCGAAACAAAUCAGUGCAUGCACUUGUAGAGGCUUUGUGAAAUUUCUCACACAGGAAUCGACAUAUUAAAGAUGCAAAGUUACCUCUUAUGGUGAUUAUAAGAUUCAAUAGGACAUGCUUGCCGAACGAUGGGUCAGUGGCCACGUCGUCAAGAACAGGUUGAUCUACGGCAACACCUUCUACUCCCGUGCUCUGUUGCUUGCUACUCUUCACGUGGCCAGCGAUUUGGUCUUCUGCUUCUUUGGUCCACAAUCACGAUGGUUCACCGGAACAUGGCAAGCAGCUCUGGCAAGCAGGACGUGGCAAGAGCAGAGCGGCGGCCGUAACAUGGCAAGGGCAGCAUCUAUCUAGGCAUGGCCGACGGCGGCGGCUCUCAAGGGUUUUAAGGACGUAAACACUCUAGACGAAUAUGACGUGUAUAUAUACGUGCGGUCUAGAUCAAGUUUGAUUAGGGUUAGAACUUAUUAUUUUUGGAAUUAAUUAUUUUCAUGGAUAAAAUAAUUAUAGAAAAGUCCAGAAUUAUUAUUUAAACUAUGAAAAAUAUUCUAAAAGCUCUGAAAAUUCGGAGAAAAUUCUCAGAGACAUUAUGGAAUAUGAGGAACUCAAAUAACGUAUUUGGACCUCAUGAUAAGAUAAUUUGGAGCAUCUAAAAAUUAGAUUUAUGCUCAUAGAAAAGUGAGAAUAGAAGAUGGAAAAAUUCCCGAAAAGUUUGUAGAGAUUGCUUGAUGGACGAGGAACUAAAAGAAGUGCUUUGAGUGACAAAGAAAAGAUUUUAGGAAGCUCCUAAUAAAAAAUUGAGCUGAGAAACCAAAGAAUUUGGUUAUAGAUAAAGAUAAAGACGUACUGGUCAAGGAAGAUCUACUAAACGCAUUUUAAAACUUUGCUCACUCAACACAUAAAGGAGCAACAAGUCAACAUCACAUCAAAACAUAUGCACCAGCAUGUAUGCACAACAAUAUUGCUAAGGCUUAUGAUAAAUUUUAAUUUAAUGAAAAUUAUUAUUUUCCUUAUAUUUUCGUGAGCACAAAAUACAAAACUGAAUAAAUUUUCAUCUAUUUUGAAAAGAGCAAAAUUUAGGGUGUUACAGUUGUCAAAAUUUUUUAAAAUUCUCAAUCAAAUUAAAUCUUGGGACACAAUGUAUCAAAUAUUAAAUAUAGAUAAAAAUUAAUUAAUUAUAUAGUUUGUAUAUAAUUUGCGAGAUAAAUUUUGUAAACCUAGUUAAUCUAUAAUUAAACAAAAAUUAUUAAAUAUAAACGGUGCUAUAGUAACUAGAUCCAAAAAUUUUCACCAACUAAGGGCUUGUACAACGAUGGGCGCUUAUGAUCAGGUAUUGGCCGUUAAAUAGUUUUUUUGCCACACGGUGGAGUCCUGAGCGGGCGCUUAAAAAUAGAUUUGCCGCUCCGUAAAGCAUCGACGCCUAGACCGGCUCCUUGCUUGAUACUGGUGUUUGCAUGCGACGUAACGGUCACAACUUAAGCGCCUUCAAAUACGUGUUGUGUUGUAGAUUAAGGUUAUAAAGAGACGCUUAGUUACAAAAGUAUUUUCUCUUUCCAUCUAAGCGCCUUUUGCAUUGUACGUGCUCUAAACAAGGCCACAGAUACAGACAUACAGUGGUUAGCUGAGGCAGAGUGAAAUCAUUAGCAGCAAACAUAUAAUAAAUAGCAGCCGCCUAGCACGACUUAGCGCCACUUAAGUUUUGUUUAGUUACGCUCGAAAUCCAAAAACUUUUCAAGGUUCUCUUCACGUCGAAUUUAGAGACACAUACAUGUAGCACGACUUAGCGCCACUUAAGUUUUGUUUAGUUACACUCGAAAUCCAAAAACUUUUCAAAGUUCCCUUCACGUCGAAUUUAGAGACACAUACAUGAAGCAUUAAAUAUAAAUAAAAAAAUAACUAAUUACAUAAUUUAUCUGUAAUUUGAGAGACGAAGCUUUUGAGUCUAGUUAGUCUAUAGUUGAACAAUAAUUAUCAAAUAUAAAAAAAAAUGUUAUAGUACCAAAAAAAUCUUUUCACUCACGAACUAAAUAAAGGCCCUAAUCUCAUCAUCCGCCUCACUGUUUAAUCGAAUGUCCUUGAUGGCCACCCACAGGCUCACAAAACCUGAGACGGUGAGACCUUGCCUGGGGUAGUAUAUGGGGCCAAUGGCCAAUCCAUUUAUCAGUUUGCCCAAGGCAGGUGGUGGGCCACUCUGUUCAAUUUUGAGUCUAAUAUAUGCAAUAUCUUCUCUUUUGUGCAAUUUUUGUCCGUGGGUUCAAACAAUCCUGCCACCGUGUCACCGGUGGCUGAUCGUGUCAACCCUUCGCCGCAGUCCGCUCCACCACAGUACGGGGGGCCCAGUUGCAGUCUCUGCCACCGCAGUAGGGAUGUUGAACUUGUAAUAAUAAAUAUGUGAGUGCUUUUAAUAUAUAAUGCAUGUUGGUGAUAUAGAUGUGAUAAUUGGCGUGUGUGUAUAUAUAUUGUCUGUUACAAUGGAAUGUAAAAAAUAAAACAAAUACAAUUCUCGGGGUCUUCGCCGAGUGCGGUGCCAGGGUCACUUGGCAAAGCAAUUUAAAAAAACAAUUUUGCCGAGUGUCGGGGCCACGACCACUCGGCAAAGAAUUUUUCUUUAAAAAAGAAAAGACACUUUGCCGAGUGCUGAUGCUAGGGGCACUAGGCAAAGUAUUUUUAAAAAAAACAAAUAUGCGGAGUGCCGCGGCAAGGGACACUCAGCAAAUAUUUUUUUUUUAAAAAAAAAGAAAGAAAAUCUUUGUCGAGUGCCUGAGGCCAGAGGCACUUGGCAAAGCAAUUUUUUUUAAAAAAACUUUGCCGAGUGUUAAGGGGCCAGGGGCACACGGUAAAAUAUUUUUUAAAAAACAAAAACUUUGUCGAGUGUCGUGUCGGGCAACUCGGCAAAAUAACUGUUAACGGCAGAUGCUGUGACGGCCAAAAAUGUUGCCGAGUGCUGUCGUAAGCACUCAGUAAAAUGUUUUUAAUAUUUUGCUAAGUGCCUCGGUAAAAAGCACUCAGCAAAGUCUCUUUGUCGAAAAUUUUUUUGCCGAGCGAACUUUGCUGAGUGCUACGUUCGGCAAAGCCUUUGCCGAGUGCAAAGGGCUCUUUGUCGAAUGUAAAAACACUCGGCAAAGUCCUAAUUUCCAGUGGUGGGUGUGCUGGGACAAUUUAGAAAGCAAGCAACGAUUUCAUUUUGCGUUAGAUCACUCCCAUCCUCGAAGCCUCAGUUUUUUUUUUCAGAAAUAAGUUCCAGCUGUUGCUGCUGAGAACUAAAAGAAGCUUUUCACCCUUGAUUGAUCAAUGGAUUGGCUCUCUAGUUUAACAGGCUUCUUUGUUGUACUCUUUUUGCUCUUUUUUCCUUAGUUUUUUUGUUCCUUAGUUAAGACUCCACCCUACUGCCUCCUUAACUGUUGUGCUUUUUUUUUUGUAAAAGACCUUUUUUAUUAUAAUUUUUGCAUUGUUGUAGGGGUGCAAACCCCUCCAAUCUCCUUCAAAAAAUUCAAAAGUAAUAUAACCUUGCAGAACAAAGGACGGUAAUCCCACCAUUUUGCUAUGUGAGCCCACUCCUCUUAUUUUUUUUACUUUUAUUUUGAUUAUGCCCACUCCUGUUAAGCAGUCAUUUGUUCCAUUCCCUAAAUAUAUUUCUAUUUUUUAGAAUAUUCAAUAAGGCGUAUAUACAUUAUAUUUUAAGAAAUAAACUAUAUUCAAGACAAAUCUACCCACAUCAAUAUUACUUGUAUACAUUCAAAUAAACAUGUAGACAUAAUAAUUCGAUAGUUAAGGUUUCAAAAUGAUUGAAAUAAGACAACUUGAAAUAUGUCACAAUAAAAAAUUAUUUGUGGUCAAAGUUUCUGAAAUUAUUGACUUACGACAACGUACAUCCAAGUGUCACUUAAUUGCUUUGUGAGCAGAGGGAGUAUAUAUUUUGGCAAGUUACCCUCCAUCUAAAAAUAUAAAACACAUGUUUUUAGGACAGUAAGAUUUGACCAAUAGGUGCUUGUGCCAUUAAUAUGCAUAAAUCAUAGAUACUUUUGAAUACAAAUAUCUAGUUACAUCAAUUUGCUACCACAAAAUUGCAAGUAUCUUGGUUAAAGCCAUGUCUAACAAAACAUGAGCUUUGGGAUGGAUAUAUAUCAUAUUGGUGUGUACGUUUAGUAGUCUCUCUUCGUUUCAAUUUAUUAGAUGUUGUUUUGGCUUUUGUAGAUACAAAAAUUUUUUUAUGUAUCUAGAUAACGUUUAUUAUGAUAUAGAUAUAUCGUAUAUCUAUAUGCCUAAAAAACUGAAUAUCUAGAAAAACUAAAAUAACCUAUAAUUUAGGAUAGAGGGUGGUAAUAAUUAUACAUCUUCUGCUACCAAGUCCCUUAAUUACAGCACACAGCUCUGUUUUCUAGUUGCCUUGAUCGUUCAUCAGAUGAAUUAUGUAUUUGAAGAGUAGCGCGUGUGUGGUCAUGUCAUGAAAACGUGCUAGCUAGGUACUUGUUUUAAUUUCCACCGUGUGAGUAUUUUUUUUUUUCAAGUGGCGAGAGUUCAUUAAUUAAAUAAAACCAUUCAAUUUUUCAAAUCACAAUACGUUGUCUGCAAAUCCUCUGAGUCAGCCAGUUUUUCGUUACGUGCUAUACUCCGUCCAUUCUAAAUUAUGUUUUUUAAACUUUUUGGUAUAUUCAUUUUGCUACAUACUAAAAAAAUUAAAAAUAACUUAUAAUUUAGAACAGAAGAGGUAUAUAUAUAGUUGCAUAUAUGCUGACAAGUGUUUGGGGGAGAAUAGAGCAGUAACUCUCUUGACCAAGCGUUUGGGAGUCAUGGAACACAGUCACAUGGCGCAUGCAUGCGUAACAACAAUUUGGAAACAAAGAGAUGUGUGUGUGCAUGUAGCAGUGAUCGAACUAGUACAAACCACAGGAGCGAGAGGAAACGUACACGGACAUAAAUAAUAAACACCGCACAUAGUGCAUGCACUCAAAAAUAAACCCAACAAGCAAAAGUACAUCUCUCACACACACAUGUACACACGCACGUACGUACAUACGCUAAGAUGCAAGCGUAUCACAGCGUACACGACGACACGUACGUACAUACGGAGAGAUUUUUAUUCAGUAGUACGACGUAGCAGUAGUAGACAACUCAUCAUCUCAUCAUAUCAGGCGUAGAUAGAUACUCAUCCAUGGUCGAUGCUCCGGCGCCGAUCGACGACGACGGCGGCGGCGGCGGAAUGGAUCAUCGAUCGAUCGAUCAUCGUUUAGGUUUAGUUCACCCUGCAUGAUCAUGCAUGC
RNAcentral lists this long non-coding RNA (7679 nucleotides) under Sorghum bicolor (sorghum). RNAcentral's name for it is "long non-coding RNA (SBIC_LNC013492)". Lineage: Eukaryota; Viridiplantae; Streptophyta; Magnoliopsida; Poales; Poaceae. The record is from RNAcentral.